This 271-nucleotide unclassified non-coding RNA is filed under the name Hevea brasiliensis (rubber tree). Lineage: Eukaryota; Viridiplantae; Streptophyta; Magnoliopsida; Malpighiales; Euphorbiaceae. The record is from RNAcentral.
AGAAAAACUGGUUCUCGGCUUACCAACUGUCCAUUUGAAGUUGUGGGUAAGAAGGAUGAUGGAUUGUGGGUACUUACGGUAAAAAAUGGAACUCACAAUCAUGAGCCUCUGAAGGACAUUUCAGAACAUCCUUCUGCCCGUCGCUUCUCAGAGACUGAAGUUCAGUUAAUUAAAGAGUUGACUGAAGCUGGACUAAAACCUCGCCAAAUCCUGAAGAGAUUGAGACAAAGCAACCCAGAUCUUCUGUCCACUCCAAAGCACGUGUACAAUG